AAAACUCAGAGAGAAGAGUUGUAGGAGCUGAAUGUGUCCCCUUCUCUGCGUCCUGCAUGUGCCUCUUCCUCUCUGAUUCAGCACUGACAAAGUGGAAAACUUGUUCACUGGGACAGGCCAAUCCAUUCAAUAAAUUCAGGCAUAGCCUCCCUCAGCAGUGAGGUCUUCUCUGGCUUUUAUCACCCAGAUUACGCCAGUGCGGUGCUG
This 207-nucleotide long non-coding RNA is filed under the name Junco hyemalis (dark-eyed junco). RNAcentral's name for it is "lncRNA (ENSJHYG00000008338.1)". Lineage: Eukaryota; Metazoa; Chordata; Aves; Passeriformes; Passerellidae. The record is from RNAcentral.